CCAAGGAAUAGCAUGCCCAUUUACCAUAAUGAACUCUACUAAUACCCCGUUUUUUAUCUGCUCUACAUAUUAAUUUUGUCUUACAUCAGACAUUGUAAAUUGUGCAGCUGCACAGGGACGUUGAUGGGAUGCCAAGGUGGAGGGAAGCAGCAGCCGGUGGAGGACUUGCUAUUGUGAAUGUUUCUGCCUUGAUGCAUCUUGGACUUGUCGAUCUCAAACUGCACACAAGUAAGCACCAAUGCAUCAGGAAAACCACUAAGCAAAACACAAUGAUGAUGAACACAGGCUGGCAUUAACUGCAAUGAUAUUUAACGUUUCUGCACAAGACAGACAGCCUCUAAAGAAUGUAUGAUUAGCAAACAUUUAAGGAAACUUAAUCUCCACUGCACACACCUCGGAAGACAUGAACAUUUACUUAUUGUGAGCUUAAUGAUCUCUAGAAAAAAACAGGCUUACGUAUUGCAGCGGAAAUUUCUGAAUUUGGAGCUUCUUUACUUUGUUAACUAGUGUAAAGUGUACAAUGUUCCUGAACUUAAAUCACAAUCGUUUGUUAGAUAAUUUUGUUUUUUCACUGUUCAACCACAGAAUCAAGAAAAUAAAAAGUGAAUAAAUUCUAAGGGCAAAGCAGAACUUGAAUCGUUUCCAAUUUGGACAUAGGAAAUCAGCCAGCCGGCAUAGCAGAGCUCGGUAAUAAACAACAUAACAGACAUCAUCACUGGCAUCAACGAGAUCUCAAAAUCGCAUGAAGCAGAACUGCUCCGCAUCGACAAGAAUUGGAGACAGGGGGAGGGAUAUGGUGAAGCUCACCUUGAGAGAAGGAGGCGACGGUCGGCUUGGAGUAGGUGGACUCGGGGGAUGGCGACGGUGAGCUCGCUGCAGCGGUUGUGGCCGAUGGUGGUGCGCCAGAAGGCGCGGCCCCGCGCGGCGACGCCCGACCGCGCGACACAUCACAGUGACAGAGAAAGGUUCCUAUCUGAAUAUAUGAAAUUACUAGUUCGAACAUACUGAGCACACACUUGACAGAGUAUGAUAUAAAGAAACUGCAUACAAGCUAAACCUAUGGAAUUCCCACAGUAUGCAACUACAACUGAAUUCCCAUCUAUAACCAUGAACAUUUGGGGAAAAAACAAACCUUUUGAUUUCCAUGUCCUUUUCCAUCCCGUGUUCCACAAGAGAGUCUGCUGAAAUGACAUAAACGAAAUUAGCAGCAAGCAGAAGUAGUCUUCUGUUGUUUCGUUUUUCUGUAGUGACCGAUGUUGCUGUGAGACAGUUUUAGAAAGCACUCCCCUGCUUUCAGUAGCCGUCGCAAAUACUCAGUUCAGUAACCUAUGCUGAUUCAACUCUAAUGUUACCGGCACAGGAUUAUGCAAGGUUCCAGCAAGUCAAGUCGAAGAAAAGGAGCUCAAAGCAUACAAAAAGAUUGAGAAGGAGGAGAUGAACACACUUUUAAACCAGUACCUCAAUUUCUGCAGAUUUUCUCUCAAGGUCAGUUAACUAAUCCAGGAAAGGCUACAUGGAUCACUUAUGAUUUCUUGUUAUAUGUCAUCUGUAAAAAUAUAAAAUUUAAAAUUAACAGAUGCAAGCUGAAACACUGGUGAUCGAGAAGAACAGUCUUGCAAAUGGGAUUAUCGAGCUCAUUGAUAGAAUCACAUUACAAAGCUUGUUAUGGGAGCAUCUUCCUUCUCAGUGUAUGUACAGAUGCAAUACUCCAACUCUGUAACGAGGUUUUCUGGAAAAAAAUACACGGCAAUUAUUUCCAACUAAACUGUUUCCAUAUAGCAAAGCACCAUGAGUUAUGUAAUUAGAUGCUCGACUCCUGUAUAUGUAAAUUUCAUAUUUCUUUUUAUUGGUCUGUUGUUCUAACAAGUGGCGAUAAGGAAGGCGGCAGAACCAUUUAGUCAAUACUUCACUUAAAACGCCCAAUAACAAAUAACUACAGUUUAACUAAUUAUCAUCUCUCCCUCUGUCAGAAGUCUAAAGUAGAAAUAACCCAAGUUGUUUAUGUUGAUUAUGAAUCUUGCAUGAACAGGAAGAGGAAAGUACAAAAAUCAAAAGUUGCUGUCGGUGUGCAUCUACAGGCCAAACCAUAUUGCCAGAUCUUCUUUAUUUGUAAAGAGACUCUUGGUUGCUCUAGGUAUGAGUGUCAUGCAUCCCUAACUCAGCAUAAAGCAAAUACUACAUAGACUUUGCAAAUUUCAGCUCAAGCAACUACUCAAAAUUAUAUAUAGCCUCGCAAGUAAAACGGUGUCAUUUUUCUUAUCAUUUUUCAGGGAGGCCACUCAGCUUUGUACAAAAGUAGAGUCACCCCAAAGUAGCUGUGCAAGCACUAUCUUGGACCAACCUGAUUUAACUCCAAGAUCCGUAUCACUGCCACCACGGCCUCCAGGUCUCUUAGGCCCCAUAGGCCAACAAGCCCUUCCACGACGGUCCAACUCAGUCAGUUAUCCCUUGUCUAGAUUGAUAACAGAAAAUGUAGAAAAUAAAAUCAGUGGAAUGUUUGACAAUAGAAUGUAUUUGGUUGUAGUAACUCUUAACCAGUAGUGUCUCUAAUGUUUACCAAUGGCACUAUGGAAAAAUUCUCAACCAGUAGUGUAUUUCAGGGAAAUGGUUGACAAUAGAAUAUAUUUGGCUUCAGUAACUCUCAACAAGUAGUGUCUCUAAUGUUUGCCAAUGGCACUAUGGAAAAAUUCCACUUUGCGAAACAAAAUCUUACUGCUAUUGGUCUAUCAUCUAAAUUUUAGUUGACCAACCAAGGUCUUCAGUUUUGGUCUCAGUUAUCAUACUUAUUAGAUAAUGUUGUCAUACUUACUGAAUUCGAAGCAAACAAAAUGUUUUACAGGUGGAAAUACAUGAAAUUUUUGAGCAAC
This 2867-nucleotide long non-coding RNA is filed under the name Hordeum vulgare. RNAcentral's name for it is "long non-coding RNA (HVUL_LNC007505)". Lineage: Eukaryota; Viridiplantae; Streptophyta; Magnoliopsida; Poales; Poaceae. The record is from RNAcentral.